This 502-nucleotide long non-coding RNA is filed under the name Vulpes vulpes (red fox). RNAcentral's name for it is "lncRNA (ENSVVUG00000001036.1)". Lineage: Eukaryota; Metazoa; Chordata; Mammalia; Carnivora; Canidae. The record is from RNAcentral.
CAAAAAUACAAGAUAAAAGCUGAAAAUUCUGUUCAGAAGCCUUUUUGUUAGUGCAUUGUGCUCUCAUUAUGCCUGCUCUGAUGACAGCAGUAAUGUGGGUGCUUCUACCCCUUGCUCUGUUUACCUCAGUUGCUAUGCCCAGCAAGAAGGAAAAAAGCCAUGGGAGGCAGAAGAAACUCAGAACAUUUUAUGGGAGGUGGCAUAGCAGGCUUUGAAGAGGCAGUCCUGAGGACAAAUCCUGUGAAUGCUUUUCAUAAGAACCAGAGCAGGAAGAAGAGCACAUAGGUCCUUUGUGGUGACGCCAGAGGACCAGCUUAUAGAGCUGGUUAAGGUAUCCCUUCCAGGACUCUCAGAAAAACCUAGCAGGUGCAUGGAACAGUGGGGAGCUGAGGGGCAGGACUGAGAUCAAAUGAUCACAUUCUGGGCAGAGGAACCACGCUCCUCCAUUAACGCCUGCAAAGUAUUCACUGACUACUGAAACUAGAAGAACAUCAUGGAAAAG